Triticum aestivum (bread wheat) is the source of this 123-nucleotide non-coding RNA. The record is from Rfam. Lineage: Eukaryota; Viridiplantae; Streptophyta; Magnoliopsida; Poales; Poaceae.
CACAUACUCCCUUCGUCCCAAAAUUCUUGUCUUAGAUUUGUCUAAAUACGGAUGUAUCAAGUCACGUUUUAGAUAUAUCUAGACAGAUUUAAGACAAGAAUUUUGGGAUGGAGGGAUUAUAUU